Long non-coding RNA from Neoarius graeffei (lesser salmon catfish), 276 nucleotides. RefSeq lists it as uncharacterized. NCBI's taxonomy places the organism in Eukaryota, Metazoa, Chordata, Actinopteri, Siluriformes, Ariidae. The transcript is spliced from 3 exons. The record is from RefSeq and is a predicted model, not a curated record.
UUCAGAUUUAAUCCAGAUUUAAUCUGUUUUGGAGCCACUUGUCACUUUGGAUCCAAGAGUGUCUCCACCUGGUACCAGCAAUUGACUCCAAAGACUUAUGAUGUUUCUCCUUCGCUUCAGCCAGAGCACCACACAUUCACAUUCUACAAUAGUGGUCAUGAUUCAUCAUAAGGAGGGAAACUCAACCCUCACUAAAGUGUUAAGGGGAAACCGGAGCACCCAGCGGAAACCCACACAGACAGAACAUGCAAACUCCACACAGAAAGGCCCACACUG